AGCUUUCUGAAUCCGUGCAGUUCUCGUCAGAUACCAACCCAUUAGUAUUGAUCAGACUUCCAGGAUAAGUGAAGUU
Non-coding RNA from Schistosoma mattheei, 76 nucleotides. Lineage: Eukaryota; Metazoa; Platyhelminthes; Trematoda; Strigeidida; Schistosomatidae. The record is from Rfam.